Molecule: ribosomal RNA, 405 nt
Filed under: uncultured bacterium
Lineage: Bacteria
Description: partial 16S ribosomal RNA
Rfam family: Bacterial small subunit ribosomal RNA
Source: RNAcentral
AUUGAACGCUGGCGGGAGGCUUAACACAUGCAAGUCGAACGAGUGGCGGACGGGUGAGUAAUGUAUGGGAACCUGCCCGAUGGCGGGGGAUAACUACUGGAAAGAGUGGCUAAUACCGCAUACUAUUGGAUGUGCCCAGAUCGGAUUAGCUAGUUGGUGGGGUAAAGGCUCACCAAGGCAACGAUCCGUAGCUGGUUUGAGAGGAUGACCAGCCACACUGGGACUGAGACACGGCCCAGACUCCUACGUGAGGCAGCAGUGGGGAAUUUUGGACAAUGGGGGAAACCCUGAUGCAGCCAUCCCGCGUGUAUGAGAAGGCCUUCGGGUUGUAAAGUACUUUUGGCAGAGAAGCGUUAUCUGCAGAAGAAGCACCGGCUAACUACGUGCCAGCCGCCGCGGUAAUAC